AUGAUCUCUACAUCCCUACUGCUGCUGCUGCUGGCAGCCGUACGCUGUGUUCACUGUGUUGAGCUGAUCCAGACCGGAUCCACAGUAUUAACUCCUGGUCAGUCACUGACUCUGACCUGUAAAGUGUCUGGAUAUUCAUUAACUGAUAGCAGCUACUGUACAGGCUGGAUACGACAACCUGCAGGAAAAACUCUGGAGUGGAUUGGAGAGAUAUGUGGUAGCGGUAACACUUACUACAGUGAAAAACUGAAAAGCAGGUUUCAGGUUUCCAGAGACACGUCCAGCAGCACAGUGACAUUAACAGGACAGAACAUGCAGACUGAAGACACAGCUGUGUAUUACUGCGCUCGUGAACCACAGUGA
Non-coding RNA from Hemibagrus wyckioides, 363 nucleotides. The record is from the annotation of a RefSeq genome assembly. Lineage: Eukaryota; Metazoa; Chordata; Actinopteri; Siluriformes; Bagridae.